CUAAUGUUGACUGAAAGGAAAAAGUUCAGUUUAGGGUUUAAAACCCUAAUGCUGACUAAAAGGAAAAUUCAGUUUAGGGUUUAAAACCCUAAUGCUGAUUGCAUGGAGAAACCAGUUUAGGGUUUAAAACCCCUAAUGCUGGCUGAAAGGAAAAAGCUCAGUUUAGGGUUUAAAACCCUAAUGCUGACUAAAAGGAAAAUUCAGUUUAGGGUUUAAAACCCUAAUGCUGAUUGCAUAGAGAAGCUUAGUUUAGGGUUUAAAACCCUAAUGCUGGCUGAAAGGAAAAAGUUCAAUUUAGGGUUUAAAACCCUAAUGCUGACUAAAAGGAAAAUUCAGUUUAGGGUUUAAAACCCUAAUGUUGAUUGCAUGGAAAAACUCAGUUUAGGGUUUAAAACCCUAAUGUUGACUGAAAGGAAAAAGUUCAGUUUAGGGUUUAAAACCCUAAUGCUGACUAAAAGGAAAAUUCAGUUUAGGGUUUAAAACCCUAAUGCUGAUUGCAUGAAAAAGAUCAGUUUAGGGUUUAAAACCCUAAUGCUGGCUGAAAGGAAAAAAGUUCAGUUUAGGGUUUUAAAACCCUAAUGCUGACUAAAAGGAAAAUUCAGUUUAGGGUUUAAAACCCUAAUGCUGAUUGCAUGGAGAAGCUCAGUUUAGGGUUUAAAACCCUAAUGUUGGCUGAAAGGAAAAAGUUCAGUUUAGGGUUUAAAACCCUAAUGCUGACUAAAAGGAAAAUUCAGUUUAGGGUUUAAAACCCUAAUGCUGAUUGCAUGAAAAAGCUCAGUUUAGGGUUUAAAACCCUAAUGCUGGCUGAAAGGAAAAAAGUUCAGUUUAGGGUUUUAAAACCUAAUGCUGACUAAAAGGAAAAUUCAGUUUAGGGUUUAAAACCCUAAUGCUGAUUGCAUGGAAAAAGCUCAGUUUAGAGUUUAAAACUCUAAUGCUAACUGAAAGGGAAAAGUUCAGUUUAGGGUUUAAAACUAAUCCUGACUAAAGGAAAGUUCAGGUUAGGGUUUAAAACCCUAAUGCUAACUGCAUGGAAAAGCUUAGUUUAGGGUUUAAAACACUAAUGCUGGCUGAAUGGAAAAAGUUCAGUGUAGGGUUUAAAACCCUAAUGCUGACUAAAGGAAAAAUUCAGUUUAGGGUUUAAAACCCUAAUGCUGAUUGCAUGGAAAAGCUCAGUUCAGGGUUUACAACCCUAAUACUUGCUGAAAGGAAAUAGUUCAGUUUAGGGUUUUAAAACCCUAAUGCUGACUAGAGGGAAAAUUCAGUUUAGGGUUUAAAACCCUAAUGCUGACUGCAUGGGAAAGCUCAGUUUAGGGUUUAAAACCCUAAUGCUGGCUGAAUGGAAAAAAGUUCAGUUUAG
RNAcentral lists this long non-coding RNA (1357 nucleotides) under Nicotiana tabacum (common tobacco). RNAcentral's name for it is "long non-coding RNA (NTAB_LNC004167)". The record is from RNAcentral. Lineage: Eukaryota; Viridiplantae; Streptophyta; Magnoliopsida; Solanales; Solanaceae.